This 554-nucleotide long non-coding RNA is filed under the name Helianthus annuus (common sunflower). RNAcentral's name for it is "sRNA HanXRQr2_Chr01g0037381". The record is from RNAcentral. Lineage: Eukaryota; Viridiplantae; Streptophyta; Magnoliopsida; Asterales; Asteraceae.
GUAUUUAGUAUGGGUGAACGUUCAUCAAGGUAUUAUGUGUGACAACCCGAACUUCCAAGGACGUGAUUGUUCAAUUGCUAAUCAAGUAGAUAACCUUACCGAGCAAACCUAAGGUCGUUAGGUGUUAAAGUGUACAAAAUGCGGGUUUAAGGAAGCUUGAAGGAUGCGAGAGGCUGGCGUGAUCGAGAUGUGUGGAAAUCAAGGAAAAUGGAGGAAUCGGAAGCAAAAGAUCACUCAGAGCCGUAAGCUACGCCACCAGGCCGUAGCUUACGGCCCCUAUAACCCACAAGAAGAAUGCACCGUAAAACAGGAGCACAAGGGCGUAUGGAACAACUGCUCACCGUAAGUGGCCGUAGCUUACGGCGCCGAUCGAGCCAAAAAUGUAACUGACACAUUAAAGAGCAUUUUGAAGACACUUUAUGAUGGCUAAUCAUGCUAGGUCGGUUACCACUUGAGGAAAACGAGUGGGGGACUAUUUAGGAGGCACUUGGGAGUUAAGAAAGACAUCUUUUUUUUGCAUAAUCUUUCACUAGAAUCAAGUGGGAAGAAUCUUG